GACGAACGCUGGCGGCGUGCUUAACACAUGCAAGUCGAACGGAAAGGCCCUGCUUGCAGGGUACUCGAGUGGCGAACGGGUGAGUAACUCGUGGGUGAUCUGCCCUGCACUUCGGGUUAAGCCUGGGCAACUGGGUCUAAUACCGGCUAGGUGCCAUUUUUAGUGUGAUGGUUGGAUAGUUUUUUCCGUGUAGGAUGAGCUCGCGGCCUAUCGGCUUGUUGGUGGGGUAAUGGCCUACCAAGGCGGCGUAGGGUAGCCGGCCUGCGAGGGUGGACUGCGACAUUGGGUCCGAGAGGCGGCCCAGACUCCUACGCGAGGCAGCAGUGGGGAAGAUUGCACAAUGAGCGCAAGCCUGAUGCAGCGACGCCGCGUGGGGGAUGACUGCCUUCGGGUGGUAAACUACUUGCGCUAGGGACGAAGCUUUUUGUGGCGGUACCUAGAUAAGAAGCACCGGCUAACUACGUG
RNAcentral lists this ribosomal RNA (465 nucleotides) under uncultured bacterium. RNAcentral's name for it is "partial 16S ribosomal RNA". It matches the Rfam family "Bacterial small subunit ribosomal RNA", at positions 28 to 507 of the family's 1533-position model. The record is from RNAcentral.